Molecule: long non-coding RNA, 7633 nt
Filed under: Lactuca sativa (garden lettuce)
Lineage: Eukaryota; Viridiplantae; Streptophyta; Magnoliopsida; Asterales; Asteraceae
Description: long non-coding RNA (LSAT_LNC004222)
Source: RNAcentral
UUUGGAUAGCCUUAAGAGAAGAUUAUCCAAUUAGGGUUUAGGUUGUAACCCUUAAGGAGUCUACAAGUAUAAAUAGACCCCAUGGCUGAUGGAAUUCGACACUUGACCUAAAGUAAGGAACCUCUGGUCGAAAUUCCUCCCCUCUCCUCUCUCCCAAAUCAUCCUCCUUGCUUUGGUGUUUGUAAGCCAUUAGAGGAGUGACAUUUGUGACUCUAGAAGCUCCAAGACCUCAAGAUCAACAAGGAACUCAAAGGUAUGAUUCUAGAUCUGUUUUAAUGUUCUUGUUUAACCUAAUUAGUAAUUAGAAGUCUUGGAUUCAAAGCAUGUUUAUUAGAAAGCCUAGAUCCAAGCAUUAGGGUUUUGCAUGCGCACAUAGGAAAGUUCUUAUGGCUAAAACCCAUCAGUGGUAUCAGAGCCUAGCUUGGUUUUCUGUAAAUUGUUGCUUGAUUAACUGAAACAAACCUGCAAAAUUCGAAUUUUUGGUUUCUGAGUCAUGGACUCGGCGAGUCUCAAAGUGGACUCGGCGAGUAGGCCUGACUCGGCGAGUCCAUUUGUGCACUCGGCGAGUCCAGGCGUCAGGAAUGGCCAGAUUCGGGAUUUCUUUGUGUUUAUCUUAUCUUAACUUACCAUAAACUAAUUAGAUCAACAUUAAUUCGUUUUUCUGAUAAAUAUAACUAUUAUCUUGAUCUAGUUAAAGGUAAUUAUCAACUAAUUAAAUAUUUAAUUUCCUUAUAUGAUAAUUAAUUAAUUAUUUUGAUUAUUUUGGUAAUUAUCUUUAAAAGAAAUCUUGAAUAAAUCAAAUAUAGAUAAUUAGGAUAUUAAUUGUUAAUUGGAAUUAUUUGUUAUUUGAUCCUCCAUGUUUUAAAUGUUUAAAACCUACCCUCAUGUUUUGAAAUUUACUUUUGUGAUUAAAAGUUUUAAUUUAGACAACUUAAAUUUCAAACCCUAGAUUUUAAAAGUUUUAAAAUACAACCCUAUACUAAUAUGAUAUUACUAGAAUAAUAUAUAUAUGUAUAACUAAAUGCUAGUCUUACCGUUAGUAGGCCUCAUUCACGAAGCCGAUCUAUAAGGUGGGUAUAAGGUUGCGGCCUAUAAAAUGGCGCUUAAUGGGUGUACACUCACACCCACCGCUUGCUUGAUUGGUGGAGGGUCGUUAGCCGAACGGGUAGGAUAGGGCAACCUCAUCCUCUCAUUAAAAGUAUAAUAAGAAAUAUAAAGUAACUACACAUUUUUUUAAAAUUUCCCAAUCCUAGUUACUUUAGGAAAAGUGAAUUGAUGCAAUCCCAUGAAAUUACACUUUGCACCUUGCUAAGAUGUUAGUGGAGCGUGUGUGGUUUACCGGCACACUAAUUGGUUCUAAGCGAAGGUGGCAAAGGGUGAUUCAUUGUUUAUCAUAGUUCGAUGGAGCGUGUGUGGUUUACCGGCACAUCGAAUAGGUGAUCGUUACAAUGAAGGCACCAUGUGAAUUUGCAUGGUAAUUCACACCCGCUUUGUGAUCCUCGGCAUCCCAGUCACAAACAAGAGGGGCAUAUCGAGAUUUAAACAUGCCAUUGAAUAGUUUCAAUGAAUCUCAUCCGAACCUAGGAAUUCUCAAAAACACUUAGGACUAAUAGUUUAAGUUUUGUGAUGGAGAAUUAGUGAAUCGUCAUUCACUUACCUUCAAUUUAUUUGCAUGUUAGAUUACGGCAUCCCUUUUCUAGUAUGUAAAUGUUAUUGUUGGAUCCUAGCCCUAAUUUUCUUAUUGGGUGAUAAUUAGGGAUUCUUAUUCUAAUCUAUCUUUGUCCUUUUCUAAUUGUAGAUGUCGAACGCAAACAACGCUGCUGCUAGUUCUUUCACGUUGAUGAGCCUUUGCCAAAAGGUCACCUUCGAUGGAACGAACUUUAGCGAAUGGAUAAGAUACAUUCGCACCAUUGCUCGCUAUGAGGAUAAGGAGUAUGUCCUCGAUGAGAAGCUCGAGAAAAUCAACCCCGAAAUUGCUACUCCCGCCGAAAUCACCGCCUUUGAAACUCAUGAGCGAGAUGCAACGAAGGUACAUUGCAUCAUGAUCGCCACCAUGAACUCCGAAUUCCAAAAGUCCUACGAGGACAUGUACCCGUACGAGAUGCAUCAAGACUUAUUGGAGAGGUACCACCAAAACGCGAGACAAGAGAGGUACGAGAUUUUCACUAACAUGAUUUCCGCGAAGAUGGGUCAUGGAGAAUCUCUUACCGUGCACUUGCAAAAGAUGCAAAGGUAUGUUGACCGCCUUCGCAAGUUAAAUGUUGACUUCGGUGAAGACUUGGCGAUCGACAUGGUGCUUCACUCUUUGCCUCCGAUGUACAACCAAUUUAGGAUGACCUACCACAUGAACAAAGAAGAGGUCACCCUAAGCAAGCUCCAAGGUCUCUUGAGGGUUGCUGAGAGCAACUUCAAAGACAAGUCUGUUGCACCUACUCCCAAUCCGCCCGCUGCUCCUGUCUUGGCUAUUGGACAAGGGAAGGGAAAGAAGAGGAAAGCUUCAUCGAAGAACUAUCGCAAGGUGAAAGCCCGAGAUGGUGCCUCUUCUAGUGGGACCAAAGUUGAUCCCGCCAAGCCCUGCUCUAACCCGAAGGAGGCAGAGUGCCACCACUGCCACAAGAUAGGACAUUGGAAGAGAAGCUGCCCGGAUUACCUGCAAGCAAUCAAAGAAGGAAAGAUCAAGCCAUCUUUCGCAGGUAUAUAUACAAUCAAAUCUAACGAUUCUAAUCAUGCUAUUUCUUGGGUUCUUGAUACCGGUUGUGGUUAUCACAUUUGUUCUAAUGUGCAGGGACUAAGAAGAAGUAGGGAUGUGGAGCAAGGAAGGAUCAAUCUAAUCAUGGGGAACAGAAGAUCGUCGCCUGUGACCAAGAUUGGAGUGUAUUCCUUAGUGCUUAGGAAUAGUUUAGUUUUAGAUUUGAACAAUUGUUGCUAUUCGCCAGAAAUGGCAAGAAACAUCAUUUCAUUUCAUGGUUUAUAUAGACAAGGAUUUAGAUUUUCUUUUAAUAAUGAGAAUGGUUCUAUUUUGGCUUAUCUAAAUGGUGUCUUUUACUUUGAAGCUAUACCAUGUAAUGGAAUAUAUGAAACCGUUAUGAUUGUUGAUAACUUAGGAAAUGAUGUUUUGAAUAUUGAUUCUUCCACUAGUAUGGAUAAAGCAUCCUUGUGGCAUUGUCGUCUUGGACAUGUCAACAAGAAACGCAUAGCCCAACUCCAAAAGGAUGGAGUGUUGGAGUCAUUCGACCUUAGGGAAGAUGACACAUGCGAGUCUUGUUUGCUUGGAAAGAUGACUAAGUCACCCUUCACGAGUACAUGUGAAAGGGGCGAGGGUCUAUUGGACCUAAUACAUACCGAUGUAUGUGGACCGUUUAGAUCAACCACGAAGGAUGGGAACCGCUUCUAUGUGACUUUUACCGAUGACUAUAGUAGAUAUGGGUAUAUCUACUUAAUCAAGCAAAAGUCAGACACCUUUGAAAAGUUCAAAGAGUUCAAGAAUGAAGUGGAGAAUCAAUUGGGCAGGAAAAUCAAGAUGCUUCGAUCCGAUCGAGGAGGAGAGUACCUAAGUCUUGAAUUCCACGAUUAUCUCAAGGAGUGUGGAAUAGUUUCGCAAUUGACGCCUCCUAGGACACCGCAGUUGAAUGGUGUGGCAGAAAGGCGUAAUCGAACCUUAUUGGAUAUGGUUCGCUCUAUGAUGAGUCGUGCUUCACUACCUAUCUCUUUUUGGGGGUAUGCCUUAGAGACUGCCGCCCAUAUCCUUAACCGAGUCCCUACUAAGAAGGUUGCCAAAACACCUCACGAGAUGUGGACAGGGAAAGCUCCCUCGUUGGCACAUAUCAAGGUUUGGGGUUGCGAGGCUUUCGUAAGACGAGAUACUCACGACAAGCUUGAACCUCGAAGUGAGCGAUGUAUUUUCAUCGGCUACCCGCAGACAUCCUUUGGAUAUCUCUUCUAUAGACCGAAGGACAAUGUUGUCUUCGUUGCGAGGAGAGGAGUUUUCCGAGAGCGAGAACUCAUAAGCCAAGGAGACAGUGGGAGGCAAAUCGAGCUUGAAGAGAUUCAAGAGUCGAUAGAUGAAGGAACCUCUACCGCUGGCACUCAACCCGAGGAGGAAACUCCGGUUGAACCGAUUGACGAAUCCUUACCUCUUAGACGUUCCGAUAGAGUUAGAGUUCAUCCCCAGUUUUAUGGUUUUCAUAUUACUACCGAAGGGGACACGUAUAUUAGUGAUGGUACACUAGUAAAUCUUGAUGAACCUAAUAGCUAUAAGGAAGCCAUGGCAGGCCCGGAGUCUGCAAAGUGGAAAGAGGCAAUGGAUAGCGAGAUCCAAUCCAUGUAUGAUAACCAAGUUUGGAAUUUGGUUGAUUAUGUGCCCGGACGUAAGACCGUUGGGUGCAAAUGGAUCUUCAAGAAGAAGACCGACGUGGAUGGAAACGUACACACAUAUAAAGCGCGAUUGGUUGCGAAGGGCUUUACUCAAACUCCCGGAGUUGACUAUGAUGAGACCUUCUCACCAGUUGCGAAGAUUAAAUCUAUUAGAGUGAUGCUAGCAAUUGCCGCAUUUCAUGAUUAUGAGAUUUGGCAAAUGGAUGUCAAGACCGCUUUCCUUAACGGAAAGUUGGCUGAGGAUGUUUACAUGGCUCAGCCAGAGGGGUUUGUGGAUCCGAAGCAUCCGAAUAGAGUGUGUAAGCUUGAGAAGUCCAUUUAUGGACUUAAGCAAGCGUCUCGCAGAUGGAAUCUUUGCUUCGAUGAGAAAGUCAAAGAGUUUGGAUUUGUACGAAGCGAAGACGAAUCUUGUGUAUAUGUCAAAGCCAGUGGGAGUAUAGUAAGCUUCCUCGUUCUAUAUGUCGAUGACAUAUUACUCAUAGGAAACGACAUCCCGACUCUGCAGGAGGUUAAGUCCUGGCUCGGGAAGUGCUUCGCUAUGAAGGACCUCGGAGAGGCUUCUUACAUUUUGGGAAUAAGGAUAGUAAGAGAAAGAAGUAAGAGACUAAUUGGACUUAGUCAGAAUACUUACUUAGAGAAGGUACUAAAACGUUUUAGUAUGGAAAACUCAAAGAAGGGAGAACUACCGAUACAAAGUAAUGCCAAAUUGAGUAAGACUCAAAGUCCGAGUACCGAAGCUGAGAUAGCAGAAAUGAGCCGAGUACCAUACGCUUCCGCAGUUGGCUCAAUCAUGUACGCUAUGACUUGUACUCGCCCUGAUGUAGCCUUCGCUUUGAGCAUGGUUAGCAGAUAUCAAGGGAAUCCUGGCAGAGCACAUUGGAUUGCGGUGAAGAAUAUCCUUAAGUACCUUCGGAGGACGAAGGAAUGGUUCUUAGUCCUCGGAGGGAGUGAUGACUUGAAGGUGCGAGGGUAUAGUGACGCCAGUUUUCAGACCGACAGGGACAACUACCGUUCGCAGUCGGGCUGGGUCUUUACCCUAAAUGGAGGAGCAGUGACAUGGAAGAGUUCCAAGCAGGAAACCGUAGCUGAUUCAACGUGCGAAUCAGAGUACAUUGCAGCGAGCGAAGCGUCGAAGGAGGCAAUAUGGCUAAAGAACUUCAUCGGUGAUCUUGGAGUUGUACCUGCCAUAAAGGAGCCCAUGGAGAUUUUCUGUGAUAACGAAGGAGCGGUUGCCUUGACCAAGGAACCGAGGGAUCAUGGUAGAUCAAGACAUAUCGACAGAAAAUAUCACUUCAUUAGACAUCGUGUAGAAGAAGGACAACUCGUAGUGAAGAGGAUAUCAUCAGAAGAUAACCCAGCAGAUCCGCUUACGAAGGGACUGAGUAGGGUUAAGCACUUGCAGCAUGCUAGGAGUAUUGGGCUGAAGGAUGAUAUUAGCAUAGAUUAGAUAGUAUUAGAAACGUGUAAUAGAUAAAUGUAAUUAACAUUUGAUGAUUAAAUAAAGGAGUUUUAUUUAUGAGUAAUGUUACUAUCUUAUGUUAAUUGUUUAACUAUUGUUUCACUUUGCAUGUUUUGACUUCCAGAAUAAUUGAGUUUAUUAGGAAUAAUCGAAUUGUUCAAAUUGUCCACAAUCGUUCAUAUGUUGGAAGUAGAUAUGAAUGAAGAUUGUCAUGAAUUGGUGUGUAGAUUGUCUAAAUGGUGUUAGACAUAGCAAAGGGUUGCUGCAACGUUCAUGAGUGCUUAUGAACUAGUUUUGAGCAUUGGAACAAACCCGCGCUUGCUGGAAUCACCUUAUGGAAUAUGAUAUAAAAGGGUGAUCGCAAGACGAUAAUAUCAUAUAGUCUUAAAACCUAGAUAUAUGGUUUGUUAUUUGUUAAUUGAUUGUACAUUGAUAAUGCGAAAACGCAUCAGUAACUCGGUGUUAUAAAACGCAUUGUUGUGUAUAGUUGGUUAAUGAAUAAGUAAAUGCAUAUAAGUCGAAGUUUAUCUGUAACUUUUAUCUAAGAAGGUAAAAGCGAUAUCUCGGCCGCUCGAUGAUUUGAUUUGACUUAUGUGCCGGGCCCGGUCAGAACUGAAUUGAUGUGUUCGAUUAAGUUCUAUGUCAAAUAAAUCAGAGAUCGAGAAACCUAAAUGCUUGACUAACCAUUCCAUAGGAUUGUCAGCAUGAUAUCUAACAGAGGACUGUACGAUCCCUUAUCUAAAGGACAAGAUUGAUUAGAUCAGAGUUUGACAGCGUCUUUGAGAGCUACGAUUGCAAACCGAAUUGUACUUGUGCAUAUAGUUACUAGACUUAUCCAAGUGGGAGACUGUUGGAAUAGUGUCUAAGGCUGCAACUAUAUUAGGCAAGUAUUUGACCCGGUUGUGCAUGGUCCUUUUGGGUUGCCUUCACCAUAGCAACUUGAUAGGAUGAUUUAUUAAGAGAGAGUAAAUAUUAUUAAUAUAUUAUGAGAAUAAUAUAAAGAAUAAUAUAUUGUUAUUUGAUUAAUAUAAGUCAUAGAAUUAAUUGGAAUUAAUUUGGUGACUUAAAGAGAUUAAUUAAAUAAGAGGGUAUAAACUGUCAAUUGUUUGAUAGUUAAACUUUAGACUAUAAAUCCAUAUAGAUAUGGAUUGGGCGGAUUCUAGAAGCUAAAGGAUAGCUCAAAUCGUCCAAGAGUUAUCUAAUGAAUGGAUUUGGAUAGCCUUAAGAGAAGAUUAUCCAAUUAGGGUUUAGGUUGUAACCCUUAAGGAGUCUACAAGUAUAAAUAGACCCUAUGACCAAGGGAAAUCGGCACUUCAUCAAAAGCAUAGAAACCCUGGCCGAUUUCCUCCCCUCUCCUCUCUCCCAAAUCAUCCUCCUUGCUAUUUGGUGUUUGUAAGCCAUUAGAGGAGUGACAAUUGUGACUCUAGAAGCUCCAAGACAACAAGAUCAACAAGGAAUUCAAAGGUAUGAUUCUAGAUUUGUUUUAUCAUUGUUCUUAUUCCUAAAUAGUCAUUAGAAGUCUUGGAUUCAAAGCAUGUUUAAUUAGAAAGCCUAGAUUCAAGCAUUAGGGUUUUGCAUGCGCACAUAGGAAAGUUCUUAUGGCUAAAACCCAUCAAGUUCAACAUUUUCACUUGUACGUUUAAUACAAAGUUUUUCAAUUAUACAUGUUUUGAAAUCAUCAUGCAUAUAUUUACGGAUCUUCACACCUUUUCGUUCAAACUACACAAAACAUAUCCAUAUCUAACCUGCUUAUGAACUCACCAACAUUCCAUAUGUUGACCAUUUUUCAAAAUAACUUGU